AUUGAACGCUGGCGGCAUGCCUUACACAUGCAAGUCGAACGGCAGCACGGGAGCAAUCCUGGUGGCGAGUGGCGAACGGGUGAGUAAUAUAUCGGAACGUGCCCAGUCGUGGGGAUAACGUAGCGAAAGCUACGCUAAUACCGCAUACGAUCUAUGGAUGAAAGCGGGGGAUCGCAAGACCUCGCGCGAUUGGAGCGGCCGAUAUCAGAUUAGGUAGUUGGUGAGGUAAAGGCUCACCAAGCCGACGAUCUGUAGCUGGUCUGAGAGGACGACCAGCCACACUGGGACUGAGACACGGCCCAGACUCCUACGGGAGGCAGCAGUGGGGAAUUUUGGACAAUGGGCGCAAGCCUGAUCCAGCAAUGCCGCGUGCAGGAUGAAGGCCCUCGGGUUGUAAACUGCUUUUGUACGGAACGAAAGGUUUCUAUUAAUACUAGGAGCUCAUGACGGUACCGUAAGAAUAAGCACCGGCUAACUACGUGCC
This 484-nucleotide ribosomal RNA is filed under the name uncultured bacterium. RNAcentral describes it as "bacterial SSU rRNA". It matches the Rfam family "Bacterial small subunit ribosomal RNA", at positions 30 to 509 of the family's 1533-position model. The record is from RNAcentral.